Molecule: long non-coding RNA, 252 nt
Filed under: Gallus gallus (chicken)
Lineage: Eukaryota; Metazoa; Chordata; Aves; Galliformes; Phasianidae
Source: RNAcentral
GUACAUGUCUGCUUUGGCUGGACCAUUCUCUAAUGGCAGUGAGGGGUGGAUGGUGUGAUAGUCAGCAGGAUUCCCGUUCACUGUUACCAGCAGAACAUCCGAUGGCUUGUAUUCAUCUUGGGUCAUUGACAGAAGUUUUCUCUCAUCAGUUGUAUAGUGGCUUGCGUACCACAGACUGCGUCUUCUCUCUGCUGUCAUUGGAAUUGGGCUGCAGGGUAUCUCUUUGUCAUCUUCCCUGCUCUCAGAUUUCUC